GGCAGUAGCGCGGUGGUCCCACCUGACCCCAUGCCGAACUCAGAAGUGAAACGCCGUAGCGCCGAUGGUAGUGUGGGGUCUCCCCAUGCGAGAGUAGGGAACUGCCAGACA
Molecule: ribosomal RNA, 111 nt
Filed under: Escherichia coli H591
Lineage: Bacteria; Pseudomonadati; Pseudomonadota; Gammaproteobacteria; Enterobacterales; Enterobacteriaceae
Source: RNAcentral